UAGGGAAUAUUGCAAAAUGGGCGAAAGCCCGAUGCAGCAACGCCGCGUGGGCGAUGAAGGCCUUCGGGUCGUAAAGCCCUUUUUGAGGGGAUGAGGAAGGACAGUACCCUCAGAAUAAGCCUCGGCUAACUACGUGCCAGCAGCCGCGGUAAAACGUAGGAGGCGAGCGUUAUCCGGAUUUACUGGGCGUAAAGCGCGUGCAGGCGGAUUGGAGAGUUGGAUGUGAAAGCUCCCGGCUUAACUGGGAGAGGUCGUUCAAUACUACUGCACUUGAGAGGGGUAGAGGGAGGUGGAAUUCCGGGUGUAGUGGUGAAAUGCGUAGAUAUCCGGAGGAACACCAGUGGCGAAAGCGGCCUCCUGGACCACUUCUGACGCUCAGACGCGAAAGCUAGAGUAGCGAACG
RNAcentral lists this ribosomal RNA (403 nucleotides) under uncultured bacterium. Its description in RNAcentral is "bacterial SSU rRNA". It matches the Rfam family "Bacterial small subunit ribosomal RNA", at positions 355 to 774 of the family's 1533-position model. The record is from RNAcentral.